This 2940-nucleotide long non-coding RNA is filed under the name Sus scrofa (pig). RNAcentral's name for it is "lncRNA (ENSSSCG00065025463.1)". The record is from RNAcentral. Lineage: Eukaryota; Metazoa; Chordata; Mammalia; Artiodactyla; Suidae.
GGGUCUAAUCGGAGCUGUAGCCACCCGCCUACACCACAGCCACAGCAACAUAGGAUCUGAACCGAGUCUGUGACCUACACCACAGCUCACGGCAAUGCCGGAUCCUUAACCCACUGAGCAAGGCCAGGAAUCGAACCCACAACCUCAUGGUUCUUAGAUUCAUUAACCCCUGAGCCAUGACGGGAACUCCCUAUGGAGGUUCCCAGGACAGGGGUUGAAUUAGAGCCACAGUUUCUGGCCUACACCACAGCCCCAGCAAUGCAGGAUCCGAGCCUCAUCUGUGACCUGUGUCACAGCUCACCACAAUGCUAGAUCCUUAACUCACUGAGCGAGACCAGGGAUCGAACCCAAAACCUCAUGGUUCUUAGUCAGAAUCGUUUCCGCUGUGCCAUGACGGGAACUCCUUGUGUACAUUUUAAUCACAAGCUCCUAAUUUAUUCCUCUCCUGCCUCUUUCCCCUUUGGUAACGAUAAGCUUUUUUUUCUAUGUCUGUCAGUCUAUUUCUGUUUGGUAAAUAAGUUCAUUUAUAUCAUUCAUUUGUAGAUUCCACAUAAGGCAAUUAUAAAAUUUUUAAGCUUGGCCUUAACCUUAGAAAGUGUUGCAUCACUGAGCUUGUGAUUAUUUUUGUUUUCCUGUGCUGUGUUUUUGAAGCUCACCCUCUGUAAAUUGAAAUUCAGGUCAUAUGUCACUUCCUGGAUGAGUAAUAUGCUUUGUGGUCCCCUAAAGUUUUUCUGUGUCAAUACAGCACAAAUUGCUUUGAUCAACUUAAUGAAAAGAAUGUUCAAUAAAAUUUGGGUGGUUGUCUAGAUAAAGCUCUUCAGUGUAAUAUAGAUUAAAACAUUGAUAGCUCAUGUUUUUCUUUCUUUUAGCAACCUGCAGAGGAAUCACUCACAACUUGAUCAAUUACUUGAUAGUCACUUGUUGAUGCACAGUAUAAACAAAGAACCCAGGACACAUGGUUCAAGUGCUUCCUAAAAACCUACAGGUCUUUAAAGACGGUAAAAUAGCGCAUUAAAUUGUUUUCUAAAAAUGUGAACAAGAAAAUAUGACUCUUACAGAGGAGACAAUUUUAAUUUCUGACGGUCACAUGAGGCGGGACGCCCUGGAAUAAAUUCACAUUUGGAGGGAAGGUAACAUCAUUUGGAAAUCAUAGACUCCUAAAACGAAGCGAAUUUGUGGAAAACAAGCACUAUGCGUUUCCUUGGAAGGCCUUUGGGAAAAUACGUCUCCAAGUUGUGUCCCAUGCAGCCCGUGUUUCAGCGAUAACACAGAAACCACGUGUCCUUUUGCUUUGCCUUCUUUUUAGUGAUGCCUGAUGUGGGUUGCUCAUUGAAUCUGACAAUCAGAUUGUCUUUAAAAGCAGCUGAUCUCAUUCCCCGUGGGCGCUGAGUUCCUUCUUCCCAAAGUCCUGGAUGAGUCCAGAAGCUCUGGCACCGCCCCAUGACUCAGCUCCCUGCCUGCUGGCCCCCCGAGACGGCCCUCGGACCCCUGCCGCCAUCAGGCAGCAGAACCGCCUUCUUGCUAUCAGAGGUCUCCAAGAAUGCGGAUGCAGCAGUCCGCCCGCGCUCUUAAGCCUCUUGUGGUUAACGUGAAUAGCAUUCUUUCAAUUGCUGCCGAUAUGAAAUGUCCUACGUCUUCGAGUCAACAAUGAAAAACUCAGGGUCAUAUUUUUGCAGGAGAUGCUGAAAAUGUUUGAGUUGGGGUGGGGGGGGGUGAAACAUUUUAAACUUGAGUGGUGGGUCUAUUUAUUCUGUGUCUAAAUGUUGCAAAUUAAGUUGAGAUUUUUCAGUCGCUCAGGUUUUAUUAGAAGAGAGAAAGUCAAGACAGACGGUACGCUCACCAAAUAAAAUAUUUUUUAUUACAGUGCUGAAUACUUAACAAAUAGUUAUUUUUGUCCAUGGAAAAUGGGCUGCAUUAACUUCUCUGCCCCCUUAGCCCCCUCAUCUGGAAAGUGGGGAUAAUAGCAGAUAAUGCAGAGAGUCAGAAAACCCCUCUGUCAGUUUUUAUGUCUUAAAGCAGAGAGAAUAAUACUACCUGUGCAGCUGGGUCCCACCUUAUUUUUUGUUAGGAAUUUAGAAGCGGAGCCAAAAGGAAGUCGUGCUAACAUUCCCCGUAGAAUUUGUUUUCUCAGAAACCUUUUUUUGCCUUUUCUUUAGGAAAUUCUAAAUCUCUACCCCCAUCCCCCACCGGUUCCCCAGAGCACCUCCCCCAAACCUCCAGUCGGAGUCCGAACCCCGUGGCCCAGCCUCUCACUUUCACUCCCUUCUUCAUGCUACUCUUUGCCCCGAAGGACCCUCUUCCUCAGUCAAAUCGACUGCCUCUGCUCCUUCCAAGGUCAAUUCUGGGGCCCCUGGGAGCCCCGCCAGCUGUAAAUGCUGCGUCUCCUCCUUCACCGUCGACCCCAAGGACCCUCCCGACAUUCUGAUUCCACCACUGCCACCACUGCCACGGCGCUCGUCAUGCUAAACUGUGGCUGCUGAUGGACAAGCCGGGCUCAACCACAUUGUUUUUCUGGCCGUGUCCGUGGCAGGGAGACGUUCCCAGGCCAGGGAUCGAACCCACACCACUGCAGUGACAAAGAUGGAUCCUUAACCCACUGCGCCACCAGGGAACUCCUCAACUACAUUUAUAGUACUAUAUUUCUCUUUUUGGUCUUUUUCUGGGGCCACACCCUUGGCAUAUGGAGGUUCCCAGGCUAGGGGUCUAGCAGGAGCUGCAGCUGCCGGCCUACACUACAGCCACAACGAUUCAGGAUUUGAGCCGCAUCUGCGACCUACACCACAGCUCACGGCAACAUCGGAUUCUUACAAUAUAUACCUUGAUUAUGUAGGUUUCGGCAGAGUGCCUGACACAGAGUAAGUGCUCAUUAAAUGCCCACUGAAUCAAUUAACUUAAUAAAAAGUCAAAUAUUUUGUGCAUCGUCUAGUUACCUGCCGCUUC